GGAAGAGGGAGCAUCUUGGCCAUGAAGUAAGUGUUCCCAUGAUGAUUUGGAGUUUAUAUGGAGCGAAGGUUUUUCUUGCAAUCGGAGGAGGGAAUCCACUGGCGGAGUGCUGAGGGAGAAAUUUUGCCUUCUCCUGGAGAGCUGGUGGAACGUGCCGCAGGGUUGAGAGUAAUUAAGCGCAUAUUUCUGGAUCAACUUAGUGUUCCGUAUGUGCCCACCAUCUUCCGGGCGUCGAAUCCUCCUCCAGAGGCGGAUGUGGGGGUAUACAGGAGCGAUGCUCCAAUCCCGGGCUCUGUGGCCAUAGAAGGCCAAAAUGUUUUCCAUUGGCCUGGGACUACCCGGAUGUUCGAUGCCCGGUAGUUGACGAAGAUCCAUUGACCUUGUCCAACGAGUUUUUUGCUCAUCAGAGUACGGUGGUGCCGCGGGCGAAACUGCUCGAAGCCGAAGCCCCCCGAGGCGACUUCUCCGAAGGCGACUGCUCGUCCAAAUGAUGCGGCGCCGAAUGCAGAACCUGUUGGGACCGAAGCCCCCAGGGCGGCUCCUCCUGAGAUGUUUGAUGAGAUCCCCGAUGGGCUCAGCCAUGACGAUCUUUUAGAGGAGCGGCUCUGUAAGAAGUUGAUGAGCUCGCUGAAGCGAGUGUAUAUUCAUCACAAGUAUUUGCUUUGAAGAAGAGUAGGGCAUCAUCGGCAAACAAUAGGUGUGAGAUUCCUGGUGCAUGCCGUGAAAUUUUCAGCUCCUUCAAAGUGCCAUCCUGGACAUCCUUUUGCAACAACAAAGACAGAGCAUCUGCUACAAAAAGAAAGAGAUAUGGCGAUAGUGGGUCACCUUGGCGCAAUCCACGGGUAGGUUGGAAGGAUUCCAGGGGAAUCCCAUUGAGACAGACUGAGUAACGAACAGUGGUGACGCAGCUCAUCACCCCUCGCACCCAAGUAUAAUGAAAGCCCAGUCUCAGCAACAUUUUUUCCAGAAA
RNA transcript from Panicum virgatum (switchgrass), 970 nucleotides. RefSeq lists it as uncharacterized. The record is from RefSeq and is a predicted model, not a curated record. Lineage: Eukaryota; Viridiplantae; Streptophyta; Magnoliopsida; Poales; Poaceae. The transcript has 4 exons.